This 1617-nucleotide ribosomal RNA is filed under the name Triticum aestivum (bread wheat). RNAcentral describes it as "partial small subunit ribosomal RNA". The record is from RNAcentral. Lineage: Eukaryota; Viridiplantae; Streptophyta; Magnoliopsida; Poales; Poaceae.
AUGAUCGAGGAGAUUGUUACUAUACUUGUGGAAAAAGUGGGCCAAUAUUCAUCUAGAUGCCGAGCAGCGUUGCAAGCGGCGUCUAAGAAAGGGGCCAAGAUAAACAAAAAGCACGCGGAUGGGUGGGAUGGUGUUGUGAGGGAGACUGACAUUUUCAUUGAAGAAGAGACCUCUAAGAUGCUCGCAGAUAUUGAUGAAAUAUCAGAAACUGUAAGGCAGAACAACAAAAGGCCAAGGGAACAAGACUACCAAGAUGAUGAUGUCUCACCUGAAGAGUCCGGAGAAGAGUCGCCAUUUUCACCACGUUCGGCCAUUUGUCCUGUGAAUACAGAUAAACGGAAUGUAGAUGAUGGUAAUCCUAUCCAUAGGUCAAAUGACAGUCAACGGGGUGGUUCCCCGAAAAGAGCAAGGGUCGAAGAGACAGAGGAGGAUCCUGACCCGGCGAUUAAGAAUCUGGAAGGACUGGUCGCGGCAGCAGACCAAGACAAUGAAGUAACAAAUGACACUGUGGUGCAUGAACAAAUGCCAAUCCAGGCCAAAGCAGCAGAUGGUAGGCAAUGGGUAUAUGGCCCUAAUGCAGCGCUUAACACAGAGGUUCCCUCAUAUGACCUCGGAAUAGACAAUGCUGGGCCAGUCCUAUCACCGGGAAGGGAAUUGUCAGUUGUGGCUAAAACUCAACAACCGUUCCACAUUCAGCAUCACACUGCCCAGGCCGGUCCAAGCAGAUUCAAAAUAGAUUUCACAGGUUUUAGGAGCAAAGACCUGAUGGAUGAUUUCAGUAGAGCGGUGACACCAGAAGUUGCAGGUACGAGCUCCGUGCCAUCAGCUAACACAACACCUGUAUCAACAUAUGGGAAAAAUGAACUCCAAGGCUCAGGGCUUGACAUAAUAUGCACUCCUGUGCACAGGGCGAUAGAGCCGAAUAAGGCGGCGGGAACAACACCUGUUAGCCUGAACAGGGAGAUCGCGGCACAAGAGUUGGACGUACGUGAGGAGAUGGAGGAGGCAGCAAUCAACCUGAACGUUCCACAGACACAAGAUGGCCUCAGUACACAUCCACAACGAAAAAGAACAGUUAAGCCAGGCAAGGCUGCACGGUCCCCUUUUGUUCUGGGGUACGAUCCUCCCCUAAGAGCACCAGCUAAUGUUGAAAAGGUCUUCAAGAUGUUUAUGAAGGAGCCCGCAUCUGCAAGGAAAGACAAUUGGGUUAUAAGCACUCAGCCAAAAUACAUCGAGCUCUCUGCCGAGCGAAUCAGGACGAACCUUUCGGAAGGGGGUGUGAUAGAUAAUGAUUUGAUGACAAUAGCAGUUAGAAGAUAUCAGCAGAUUGACUACACUUUUGCAUUGGAUAAAGAUGAAGGGUGCUGGCGACAUUGGCUCGAGCCAGACUUUGUGAACCAUGUGAGCAGAGGAGACGUGAUUGUGAGGUAUGUGCAGGACAUGUUUAUUGGGGAACAUAUCAAGUAUGACGUGCACAGAUGCACUGAGUUGGCAGGAGAAUCUAUAGACAGCUGGCCCACAACCGAUGCAAUACAUCUCCAUAUACGUACACCAAAACAAUCACAUGCUCGGGAAUACGCUGCAUGGCUGGGACAGCAGUGGGGCAGGUUGAUUUGA